UAACUUCCGAUGUGGAACAUU
Molecule: non-coding RNA, 21 nt
Filed under: Arabidopsis thaliana (thale cress)
Lineage: Eukaryota; Viridiplantae; Streptophyta; Magnoliopsida; Brassicales; Brassicaceae
Source: RNAcentral